CUUUCGGGCUUCGGCUCGACUCUCCCACCCUUUGUGAACGUACCUCUGUUGCUUUGGCGGCUCCGGCCGCCAAAGGACCUCCAAACUCCAGUCAGUAAACGCAGACGUCUGAUAAACAAGUUAAUAAACUAAAACUUUCAACAACGGAUCUCUUGGUUCUGGCAUCGAUGAAGAACGCAGCGAAAUGCGAUAAGUAAUGUGAAUUGCAGAAUUCAGUGAAUCAUCGAAUCUUUGAACGCACAUUGCGCCCCUUGGUAUUCCGGGGGGCAUGCCUGUUCGAGCGUCAUUACAACCCUCAAGCUCUGCUUGGAAUUGGGCACCGUCCUCACUGCGGACGCGCCUCAAAGACCUCGGCGGUGGCUGUUCAGCCCUCAAGCGUAGUAGAAUACACCUCGCUUUGGAGUGGUUGGCGUCGCCCGCCGGACGAACCUUCUGAACUUUUCUCAAGGUUGACCUCGGAUCAGGUAGGGAUACCCGCUGAACUUAAGCAUAUCAAU
This 497-nucleotide ribosomal RNA is filed under the name Lasiodiplodia theobromae. RNAcentral's name for it is "eukaryotic LSU rRNA". The stretch from base 133 to 286 matches the Rfam family "5.8S ribosomal RNA". The record is from RNAcentral. Lineage: Eukaryota; Fungi; Ascomycota; Dothideomycetes; Botryosphaeriales; Botryosphaeriaceae.